CACCUGUACCCAUGCUGAACACAGAAGUUAAGCCUCUUAACGCCGAUGGUACUACGAUGGAAACGUCGUGGGAGAGUAGGUAGUCGCCAAAC
Molecule: ribosomal RNA, 92 nt
Filed under: Finegoldia magna
Lineage: Bacteria; Bacillati; Bacillota; Tissierellia; Tissierellales; Peptoniphilaceae
Source: RNAcentral